RNAcentral lists this long non-coding RNA (241 nucleotides) under Citrus sinensis (sweet orange). RNAcentral's name for it is "long non-coding RNA (CSIN_LNC000411)". Lineage: Eukaryota; Viridiplantae; Streptophyta; Magnoliopsida; Sapindales; Rutaceae. The record is from RNAcentral.
CAACAUCGAAGAACACUUACGUUUUAAGGUCGAGUUCCAGUGAUUCUUAAUCGCGUUAUCGGUUCGGCCGUUGAGAAGGCGCGCGAUGGUGGCCCACUUGUUGCCAAACCGAGCGUGGGCGCGUAUGAUCAUCUCGUCUUCUUCGGGCGUGAACGCUCGGUGCUCGACUUGAGGUGAAAGCUGGUUGCACCACCGUAGCCGGCAAGACUUUCCCGAUCUUCCGGGGAUUGAUUUGCUGAUU